ACAUCCAGAGAACUUAGCAGAGAUGCUUUGGUGCCUUCGGGAACUCUGAGACAGGUGCUGCAUGGCUGUCGUCAGCUCGUGUUGUGAAAUGUUGGGUUAAGUCCCGNAACGAGCGCAACCCUUAUCCUUUGUUGCCAGCGGUUCGGCCGGGAACUCAAAGGAGACUGCCGGUGAUAAACCGGAGGAAGGUGGGGAUGACGUCAAGUCAUCAUGGCCCUUACGGCCAGGGCUACACACGUGCUACAAUGGCGCAUACAAGGAGAAGCGACCUCGCGAGAGCAAGCGGACCUCAUAAAGUGCGUCGUAGUCCGGAUUGGAGUCUGCAACUCGACUCCAUGAAGUCGGAAUCGCUAGUAAUCGUAGAUCAGAAUGCUACGGUGAAUACGUUCCCGGGCCUUGUACACACCGCCCGUCACACCAUGGGAGUGGGUUGCAAAAGAAGUAGGUAGCUUAACCUUCGGGAGGGCGCUUACCACUUUGUGAUUCAUGACUGGGGUGAAGUCGUAACAAGGUAGGCGUAGCGAG
This 525-nucleotide ribosomal RNA is filed under the name uncultured bacterium. Its description in RNAcentral is "bacterial SSU rRNA". It matches the Rfam family "Bacterial small subunit ribosomal RNA", at positions 984 to 1509 of the family's 1533-position model. The record is from RNAcentral.